This 1107-nucleotide ribosomal RNA is filed under the name Stutzerimonas stutzeri. Its description in RNAcentral is "bacterial LSU rRNA". It matches the Rfam family "Bacterial large subunit ribosomal RNA", at positions 1824 to 2925 of the family's 2925-position model. The record is from RNAcentral. Lineage: Bacteria; Pseudomonadati; Pseudomonadota; Gammaproteobacteria; Pseudomonadales; Pseudomonadaceae.
AGCAAACACGAAAGUGGACGUAUAGGGUGUGAGGCCUGACCGGUGACGGAAGGAGAAGUGAGGGGGAUGGCGCAAGCGAAGCUCUUGAUCGAAGCCCCGGUAAACGGCGGCCGUAACUAUAACGGUACUAAGGUAGCGAAAUUCCUUGUCGGGUAAGUUCCGACCUGCACGAAUGGCGUAACGAUGGCGGCGCUGUCUCCACCCGAGACUCAGUGAAAUUGAAAUCGCUGUGAAGAUGCAGUGUAUCCGCGGCUAGACGGAAAGACCCCGUGAACCUUUACUAUAGCUUUGCACUGGACUUUGAGCUUGCUUGUGUAGGAUAGGUGGGAGGCUUUGAAGCGUGGACGCCAGUUCGCGUGGAGCCACCCUUGAAAUACCACCCUGGCAACCUUGAGGUUCUAACUCUGGUCCGUUAUCCGGAUCGAGGACAGUGUAUGGUGGGUAGUUUGACUGGGGCGGUCUCCUCCUAAAGAGUAACGGAGGAGUACGAAGGUGCGCUCAGACCGGUCGGAAAUCGGUCGCAGAGUAUAAAGGCAAAAGCGCGCUUGACUGCGAGACAGACACGUCGAGCAGGUACGAAAGUAGGUCUUAGUGAUCCGGUGGUUCUGUAUGGAAGGGCCAUCGCUCAACGGAUAAAAGGUACUCCGGGGAUAACAGGCUGAUACCGCCCAAGAGUUCAUAUCGACGUCGGUGUUUGGCACCUCGAUGUCGGCUCAUCACAUCCUGGGGCUGAAGCCGGUCCCAAGGGUAUGGCUGUUCGCCAUUUAAAGUGGUACGCGAGCUGGGUUUAGAACGUCGUGAGACAGUUCGGUCCCUAUCUGCCGUGGACGUUUGAGAUUUGAGAGGGGCUGCUCCUAGUACGAGAGGACCGGAGUGGACGAACCUCUGGUGUUCCGGUUGUCACGCCAGUGGCAUUGCCGGGUAGCUAUGUUCGGAAGAGAUAACCGCUGAAAGCAUCUAAGCGGGAAACUUGCCUCAAGAUGAGAUCUCACUGGAGCCUUGAGCCCCCUGAAGGGCCGUCGAAGACUACGACGUUGAUAGGUUGGGUGUGUAAGCGCUGUGAGGCGUUGAGCUAACCAAUACUAAUUGCCCGUGAGGCUUGACCAU